RNAcentral lists this ribosomal RNA (397 nucleotides) under uncultured Neocallimastigomycetes. Its description in RNAcentral is "eukaryotic LSU rRNA". It matches the Rfam family "Eukaryotic large subunit ribosomal RNA", at positions 127 to 533 of the family's 3401-position model. The record is from RNAcentral. Lineage: Eukaryota; Fungi; Neocallimastigomycota; Neocallimastigomycetes.
GUUCUACCUUGACGAAUUGUAGUUUAUAGAAGUGUUUUCUGUUAGUGGAGUGGCAAAAGUUCUUUGGAAUAGGACAUCAUAGAGGGUGAGAAUCCCGUAUUUGGUCAUUCCUCCUAGCGUUGUGAUACACUUUCAACGAGUCGGAUUGUUUGGGAAUGCAGUCCAAAAUGGGUGGUAAAUUUCAUCUAAAGCUAAAUAUUGGCGAGAGACCGAUAGCGAACAAGUACCGUGAGGGAAAGAUGAAAAGAACUUUGAAAAGAGAGUUAAACAGUACGUGAAAUUGUCAAAAGGGAAGCGUUUGACACCAGUGUUGUUUUUCCGAAAAUCAAUUACGAAUGUUUUGUUUUUGAGGAGUUAUGACUUCAUCGGCUUGCUCCUUUCUUUACGAAACUUUCUU